GCAUCAGUAGCGCAAUGGGUUAAAGCACGCAUUCCCGGAUAGGGUGAGAUGCGGGUUUGAAGCCUGCCUGAAGCA
Non-coding RNA from Parelaphostrongylus tenuis, 75 nucleotides. The record is from the annotation of a GenBank genome assembly. Lineage: Eukaryota; Metazoa; Nematoda; Chromadorea; Rhabditida; Metastrongylidae.